This 376-nucleotide ribosomal RNA is filed under the name uncultured bacterium. RNAcentral describes it as "bacterial SSU rRNA". It matches the Rfam family "Bacterial small subunit ribosomal RNA", at positions 524 to 898 of the family's 1533-position model. The record is from RNAcentral.
UACAGAGGGUGCGAGCGUUAAUCGGAAUUACUGGGCGUAAAGGGCGCGUAGGUGGUUAAGUAAGUUGUUUGUGAAAUCCCUGGGCUCAACCCAGGAAUUGCAGGCAAGACUGUUUGACUUGAGUACAGUAGAGGGAAGUGGAAUUUCCGGUGUAGCGGUGAAAUGCGUAGAUAUCGGAAGGAACAUCAGUGGCGAAGGCGACUUCCUGGACUGAUACUGACACUGAGGCGCGAAAGCGUGGGGAGCAAACAGGAUUAGAUACCCUGGUAGUCCACGCUGUAAACGAUGAGAACUAGAUGUUGGGCAGCUUAGACUGUUUAGUAUCGAAGCUAACGCGAUAAGUUCUCCGCCUGGGGAGUACGGCCGCAAGGCUAAA